AUAGGUAAUAUGAGGAGGGGUCUAUAUAUAUGUAAUAUGAGGAGGGGUCUAUAUGUAUGUAAUAUGUUAUAUGAGGAGGGGUCUAUAUAUCUGUAAUAGGUAAUAUGAGGAGGGGUCUAUAUAUAUGUAAUAGGUAAUAUGAGGAGGGGUCUAUAUAUCUGUAAUAUGAGGAGGGGUCUAUAUAUAUGUAAUAUGAGGAGGGGUCUAUAUGUAUGUAAUAUGUUAUAUGAGGAGGGGUCUAUAUAUCUGUAAUAUGAGGAGGGG
This is a long non-coding RNA of Nanorana parkeri, 264 nucleotides long. RefSeq lists it as uncharacterized. The record is from RefSeq and is a predicted model, not a curated record. The transcript has 5 exons. NCBI's taxonomy places the organism in Eukaryota, Metazoa, Chordata, Amphibia, Anura, Dicroglossidae.